Molecule: ribosomal RNA, 484 nt
Filed under: uncultured bacterium
Lineage: Bacteria
Description: partial 16S ribosomal RNA
Rfam family: Bacterial small subunit ribosomal RNA
Source: RNAcentral
AUUGAACGCUGGCGGCAGGCCUAACACAUGCAAGUCGAGCGGAUGAAGGGAGCUUGCUCCUGGAUUCAGCGGCGGACGGGUGGGUAAUGCCUAGGAAUCUGCCUGGUAGUGGGGGAUAACGUCCGGAAACGGGCGCUAAUACCGCAUACGUCCUGAGGGAGAAAGUGGGUGAUCUUCGGACCUCACGCUAUCAGAUGAUCCUAGGUCGGAUUAGCUAGUUGGUGGGGUAAAGGCCUACCAAGGCGACGAUCCGUAACUGGUCUGAGAGGAUGAUCAGUCACACUGGAACUGAGACACGGUCCAGACUCCUACGGGAGGCAGCAGUGGGGAAUAUUGGACAAUGGGCGAAAGCCUGAUCCAGCCAUGCCGCGUGUGUGAAGAAGGUCUUCGGAUUGUAAAGCACUUUAAGUUGGGAGGAAGGGCAGUAAGUUAAUACCUUGCUGUUUUGACGUUACCAACAGAAUAAGCACCGGCUAACUUCGUG